GGGUGCUUAGCUCAGUUGGUUAGAGCGCCUCGCUUACACCGAGGAGGUCGCAGGUUCGACCCCUGCAGCACCCACCA
Molecule: transfer RNA, 77 nt
Filed under: bacterium
Lineage: Bacteria
Also listed under: 4 other names
Description: tRNA-Val
Rfam family: tRNA
About the family: Transfer RNA (tRNA) molecules are approximately 80 nucleotides in length. Their secondary structure includes four short double-helical elements and three loops (D, anti-codon, and T loops).
Source: RNAcentral